GGGCUUAUGGCCAUAUUGAAACACUAGUUCCCAUACAAUCACCGCAGCUAAGCAAUGUUGAGCCUGGUCAGUACCUAGAUGGGUGACCAC
Non-coding RNA from Acanthosepion pharaonis, 90 nucleotides. NCBI's taxonomy places the organism in Eukaryota, Metazoa, Mollusca, Cephalopoda, Sepiida, Sepiidae. The record is from the annotation of a GenBank genome assembly.